GUUCCACCUGGGAAACAGCUUCUUCACACCCCUGCCUGACACCUGCUUUGCUAGCCUGGAAAGAUGAACUUGAAGGCCCAGAGGUAGCCACAAAGGUGGAAGUGUGCUCAAGUCCAGAAAAGGGUCCAACACUUGAGGUUUGGGUGAACCCUAAUGUUUGCACUGAAGAGGAAUGACUUACUCCAGAAGACGCUGGAAAGCUGGAUACCUGUGAAAAUCCCGAGCUCUUCCCAGAUAAGGUACUGUUUUGUCCAAAAAGAGAAGGUUGACCAAAUCGAAAUGGCGGCUUAGAUGGAAGUGUUCCUACAUUACUAGAAGACGCCGAAAAAGCACUAGGCUGCUGCCCACUGAAAGGAUUAGUUGGGUUCAUCUUCUGCUCCAAUUAUUAGAAGCCGGAGAAUUCACUGUAACGCUGUCAAAACCUUAGCGUUUCGGGAUCUCCUCCCACCUGGCUUCCCUCGGAGCGGCUGGAGCGCUAAGCACUUUCUCACAUUCCUUCAUCGCGCCCUGGCGGCCACCCUCGAGCGGGCUGGAAGGACGAGGGCGCUGCCACGAAGCUGAGGCCUCUCGGCGGGGACGGCGUGCCCGGGGAGCCUAAUCUUCCACCCAGCACAGCCCGAAACGGCGGAGGCCACGCGCUGGGCC
This 645-nucleotide long non-coding RNA is filed under the name Homo sapiens (human). Its description in RNAcentral is "lncAB376.1". The record is from RNAcentral. Lineage: Eukaryota; Metazoa; Chordata; Mammalia; Primates; Hominidae.